RNAcentral lists this transfer RNA (72 nucleotides) under Erethistes jerdoni. RNAcentral describes it as "tRNA-Val". It matches the Rfam family "tRNA". From Rfam's summary of the family: Transfer RNA (tRNA) molecules are approximately 80 nucleotides in length. Their secondary structure includes four short double-helical elements and three loops (D, anti-codon, and T loops). The record is from RNAcentral. Lineage: Eukaryota; Metazoa; Chordata; Actinopteri; Siluriformes; Sisoridae.
CAGAGCGUGGCUGAAACAGUAAAGCAUCUCCCUUACACCGAGAAGAUAUCCAUGCGAGUUGGAUCGCCCUGA